AGUGAACGCUGGCGGUAGGCCUAACACAUGCAAGUCGAACGGCAGCACAGGAGAGCUUGCUCUCUGGGUGGCGAGUGGCGGACGGGUGAGGAAUACAUCGGAAUCUACUUUUUCGUGGGGGAUAACGUAGGGAAACUUACGCUAAUACCGCAUACGACCUACGGGUGAAAGCAGGGGAUCUUCGGACCUUGCGCGAUUGAAUGAGCCGAUGUCGGAUUAGCUAGUUGGCGGGGUAAAGGCCCACCAAGGCGACGAUCCGUAGCUGGUCUGAGAGGAUGAUCCGCCACACUGGAACUGAGACACGGUCCAGACUCCUACAGGAGGCAGCAGUGGGUAAUAUUGGACAAUGGGCGCAAGCCUGAUCCAGCCAUACCGCGUGGGUGAAGAAGGCCUUCGGGUUGUAAAGCCCUUUUGUUGGGAAAGAAAUCCAGCUGGUUAAUACCCGCUUGGGAUGACGGUACCCAAAGGAUAAGCACCGGCUAACUUCGUGCCAGCCGCCGCCGUAA
Molecule: ribosomal RNA, 506 nt
Filed under: uncultured bacterium
Lineage: Bacteria
Description: partial 16S ribosomal RNA
Rfam family: Bacterial small subunit ribosomal RNA
Source: RNAcentral